This 73-nucleotide transfer RNA is filed under the name Thermoplasmata archaeon. RNAcentral describes it as "tRNA-Trp". It matches the Rfam family "tRNA". From Rfam's summary of the family: Transfer RNA (tRNA) molecules are approximately 80 nucleotides in length. Their secondary structure includes four short double-helical elements and three loops (D, anti-codon, and T loops). RNAcentral also lists the same sequence under 2 other names. The record is from RNAcentral. Lineage: Archaea; Methanobacteriati; Thermoplasmatota; Thermoplasmata.
GGGGGCAUAGUGUAACCCGGCAUCAUUGUGGGCUCCAGACCCGCCGAUCUGGGUUCAAAUCCCAGUGCCCCCA